AUUAGCUAGUUGGUGAGGUAACGGCCCACCAAGGCAACGAUCAGUAUCCGGCCUGAGAGGGCGGACGGACACACUGGGACUGAGACACGGCCCAGACUCCUACGGGAGGCAGCAGUGGGGAAUUGUUCGCAAUGGGCGAAAGCCUGACGACGCAACGCCGCGUGGAGGAUGAAGGUCUUCGGAUUGUAAACGGCUAACUCUGUGCCAGCAGCCGCGGUAAUACAGAGGGGGCAAGCGUUGUUCGGAAUUACUGGGCGUAAAGGGCGCGUAGGCGGCCUGUUAAGUCGAACGUGAAAUCCCUGGGCUCAACCCAGGAACUGCGUCCGAUACUGGCUGGCUUGAAUCCGGGAGAGGGAUGCGGAAUUCCAGGUGUAGCGGUGAAAUGCGUAGAUAUCUGGAGGAACACCGGUGGCGAAGGCGGCAUCCUGGACCGGUAUUGACGCUGAGGCGCGAAAGCCAGGGGAGCAAACGGGAUUAGAUACCCCGGUAGUCCUGGCCCUAAACGAUGAAUGUUUGGUGUGGCGGGUAUCGAUCCCUGCCGUGCCGAAGCUAACGCAUUAAACAUUCCGCCUGGGGAGUACGGUCGCAAG
Molecule: ribosomal RNA, 590 nt
Filed under: uncultured bacterium
Lineage: Bacteria
Description: bacterial SSU rRNA
Rfam family: Bacterial small subunit ribosomal RNA
Source: RNAcentral